CUGGUUGAUCCUGCCAGUACGUACAUGCUCUUCUGAAAGAUUAAGCCAUGCAUGUGCCAGUUCAUACAUUUACAAAGUGAGACUGCGGAAGGCUCAGUAAAUCAGUUAUAAUCUAUUCGAAAUUAAUCCCAUUGGAURACCGUGGGAAAUCUAGAGCUAAUACAUGCACUAAUGACGGGUAGGGUGAAAACCUUAUCUGUUAGCAUUUAUUGGACAAAACCAAAUGCUACUUAGUCCACUGGGUUAAGUAGUAGGGUGAAUCUAGAUAACUUUGCUGAUCGCAUGGCGUAAGCCGGCGACAUUUCGAUUGAAUUUCUGCCCUAUCAACUAGUUGGUAAGGYAGUGGCUUACCAAGGUUACAACGGGUAACGGGGGAUCAGGGUUCGAUUCCGGAGAGGGAGCCUGAGAAACGGCUACCACAUCCAAGGAAGGCAGCAGGCGCGUAAAUUACCCAAUCCAGACAAUGGGAGGUGGUGACCAGAAGUACUGGGUGGUAAUCAUUGAUUACUAAUCCCGGAAUGAGCAUAAAGUAAAAAUUUAGUCGAGUAACAACUGGAGGGCAAGUCUGGUGCCAGCAGCCGCGGUAAUUCCAGCUCCAGUAGCAUGUCGUAAAGUUGUUGCGUUUAAAACGCUCGUAGUUGGAUCAUACGGUAUCUUUUAGUUUAUUAGCAUGAUGUGACAUUGAAUCCAACGUUGUUAAAUUACAUUGGUUAAUUCCUUUGUAAUUGGCAGUGCGUGGAGUCUAUUGUGUAUAAUUUUGGCUAAUUGAUACUACUUACAUAUGAGAAUAAUGGUUGGCCUUUAGUGUGUCGGCCAUUGUGUCUCAUGGAGUGUGCCUUGAAUAAAUCAAAGUGCUUAAAGCAGGCAACAGCCUGAAUGAUACAGCAUGGAACGAACAAACGUGUAGAGUAUAUUGUUGAUUAAAUUAGUAUCAAAGGUAUUAAUUAAUUGGCAGUAUACAUCACCAACCGCCAUGUACGGAUGUUGGUUUCCGUAUUUGGGUGAGGAUUAAAACGAGCGGAUGGGGGCAUUGGUAUUUGGCCGCGAGAGGUGAAAUUCUUAGACCGGCCAAGGACUAACAAAAGCGAAGGCAUUUGCCAAGUCCGUGUCGAUUAAUCAAGAACGAUAGAGAAAGGUUCGAAGACGAUCAGAUACCGUCCUAGUUUUCUCUGUAAACUAUGCCAACCCGAGAUCAGUCUAGAGUUAAUAAUUACGCUCUAGGUUGGUCCCCCUGGGAAACCUAAAGUGUUUGGGUUACGGGGGGAGUAUGGUCGCAAGGCUGAAACUUAAAGGAAUUGACGGAAGGGCACCACCAGGGGUGGAGCCUGCGGCUUAAUUUGACUCAACACGGGAAAACUCACCGGUUCCGGACGUCAAAAGGAUAGACAGACUGAUAGAUCUUUCUUGAUAUGAUGUGUGGUGGUGCAUGGCCGUUCUUAGUUCGUGAAGUGAUUUGUCGGGUCGAUUCCGGUAACGGACGAGACGUUGAUCUUCAUUUACGGUACGUGAUAGUUUGCUGACGGUCGCAAGGCUGUAAGUAGACUCUAGUGAUGAUCUCGGUCAGCAUCCUUGUUGGCUGUGUGUUAUUACUUUGCUCACGUAAUGACGUAUACAGCAAUGUAUGCGUCUGCAUGAAGAGACAACUGGCGAAAGUCAGAGGAGGUUACGCAAUAACAGGUCUGUGAUGCCCUUAGACGUACCGGGCUGCACGCGCGCUACAAUGAUGACAACAACGAGUUAUCUGUUCCGAAAGGAAUGAAAAAUCUUUUAAUUGUCAUCGUGAUGGGGMUUGUUCAUUGUAAAUUGGACAUGAAAUAGGAAUCCCUUGUACGUGCACUUCACUUAGAGUGCGCGGAAUGAGUCCCUGCCCUUUGUACACACCGCCCGUCGCUACUACCGAGUGAAUGGUGUCAUGAUGCGUUGGGACCGGACGUCGUUCAGUUUCGGCUGAGUGAUGCUGGGAUCAAUGUAAAAUGGUGCAAUUUCGAGGAAGUAAAAGUCGUAACAAGGUUUCCGUAGA
This 2020-nucleotide ribosomal RNA is filed under the name Myxobolus voremkhai. RNAcentral's name for it is "SSU rRNA". It matches the Rfam family "Eukaryotic small subunit ribosomal RNA". Lineage: Eukaryota; Metazoa; Cnidaria; Myxozoa; Bivalvulida; Myxobolidae. The record is from RNAcentral.